RNAcentral lists this transfer RNA (68 nucleotides) under Margattea angusta. RNAcentral's name for it is "tRNA-Ile". Lineage: Eukaryota; Metazoa; Arthropoda; Insecta; Blattodea; Pseudophyllodromiidae. The record is from RNAcentral.
AGCGAAGUGCCUGAAAAAGGAUUAUUAUGAUAGAAUAAACCAUGUAGUAUUAAGUACUACCUUCGCUA